CAGCACUUCGAUGCCCAAGUGUUAGCCAGUAACUGUCCUCCUGGAAUUCCUGGUUGGCAGUCACGCCGUCCCUCUGUCUCCGCUGCACCUGAGCCUACCUGUCCGCCCUCUGUUCCACUUCCUUGUUGCCUUCUGGAUUUCUGUGGCUGAGCACUGGACUAUCUGGACCUACAAAGUAGCCAAGCCCCCUGACACUUCAGCAAACCCUUCCUAACUCCGAACCUCCGUCUAACAAUGAGCCGAGCGUUUCUGUGAGCCCGUUUCUCCCCUGGACGAGACCCGUCGCUUCACUAUUUUUCUAGUUUGUGUUCUCAAUAAAUUCACUUUAUUAUA
Xiphophorus couchianus (Monterrey platyfish) is the source of this 333-nucleotide long non-coding RNA. RefSeq lists it as uncharacterized. The transcript has 3 exons. The record is from RefSeq and is a predicted model, not a curated record. NCBI's taxonomy places the organism in Eukaryota, Metazoa, Chordata, Actinopteri, Cyprinodontiformes, Poeciliidae.